CGAAGGCGGCGUGCUUAACACAUGGAACAUGAUGCCCGCUUGCUGGGCGGAUUAGUGGCGAACGGGUGAGUAAUACGUGAGUAACCUACUCUGGGAUAAGCCUGGGAAACUGGGUCUAAUAUACUACUUCUUACCGCAUGGUGGGUGGUGGAAAGGGUUUUACUGGUUUUGGAUGGGCUCACGGCCUAUCAGCUUGUUGGUGGGGUAAUGGCUCACCAAGGCGACGACGGGCCGGCCUGAGAGUGACCGGCCCUGGGACUGAGACACGGCCCAGACACGGGAGGCAGCAGUGGGGAAUAUUGCACAAUGGGCGGAAGCCUGAUGCAGCGACGCCGCGUGAGGGAUGACGGCCUCGGGUUGUAAACCUCUUUCAGUAAGAAGAGAGUGACGGUACCUGCAGAAGAAGCGCCGGCUACUACGUGCCAGCAGCCGCGGUAAUACGUAGGGCGCAAGCGUUGUCCGGAAAUUAUUGGGCGUAAAGAGCUGGCGGUUUGUCGCGUCUGCUGUGAAAGCCCGCUCAACCCCGGGUCUAGUGGGUACGGGCAGACUAGACAGUAGGGGAGACUGGAAUUCCUGGUGUAGCGGUGACAGAUAUCAGGAGGAACACCGAUGGCGACAGGUCUCUGGGCUGUUACUGACGUUGAGGAGCGAAAGCAUGGGGAGCGAACAGGAUUAGAUACCCCUGGUAGUCGCCAAACGUUGGGCACUAGGUGUGGGGGACAUUCCACGUUUUUCCGCGCCGUAGCUAACGCAUUAAGUGCCCC
Molecule: ribosomal RNA, 764 nt
Filed under: Kocuria sp. ASWS07
Lineage: Bacteria; Bacillati; Actinomycetota; Actinomycetes; Micrococcales; Micrococcaceae
Description: bacterial SSU rRNA
Rfam family: Bacterial small subunit ribosomal RNA
Source: RNAcentral